GGGUGUAUAGCUCAGUUGGUAGAGCACUUGCCUCUUAAGCAAAUGGUCCUGGGUUCGAGUCCCAGUGCACCCACCA
This 76-nucleotide transfer RNA is filed under the name Candidatus Peregrinibacteria bacterium. Its description in RNAcentral is "tRNA-Lys". It matches the Rfam family "tRNA". Rfam says of the family: Transfer RNA (tRNA) molecules are approximately 80 nucleotides in length. Their secondary structure includes four short double-helical elements and three loops (D, anti-codon, and T loops). The record is from RNAcentral. Lineage: Bacteria; Candidatus Peregrinibacteriota.